RNAcentral lists this ribosomal RNA (468 nucleotides) under uncultured bacterium. Its description in RNAcentral is "partial 16S ribosomal RNA". It matches the Rfam family "Bacterial small subunit ribosomal RNA", at positions 28 to 507 of the family's 1533-position model. The record is from RNAcentral.
GACGAACGCUGGCGGCGUGCUUAACACAUGCGAGUCGAACGGUGAAGCUCCAGCUUGCUGGAGUGGAUCAGUGGCGAACGGGUGAGUAACACGUGAGCAACCUGCCCCUGACUCUGGAAUAAGCGCUGGAAACGGCGUCUAAUACUGGAUACGAGAAGGGUCCGCAUGGGCACCUUCUGGAAAGUUUUUCGGUUGGGGAUGGGCUCGCGGCCUAUCAGCUUGUUGGUGAGGUAAUGGCUCACCAAGGCGACGACGGGUAGCCGGCCUGAGAGGGCGACCGGCCACACUGGGACUGAGACACGGCCCAGACUCCUACGGGAGGCAGCAGUGGGGAAUAUUGCACAAUGGGCGAAAGCCUGAUGCAGCGACGCCGCGUGAGGGAUGACGGCCUUCGGGUUGUAAACCUCUUUCAGCAGGGAAGAAGCGAAAGUGACGGUACCUGCAGAAGAAGCACCGGCUAACUACGUG